UCUUAGAGCUCCGAAGAUGGUGGCGGCCUGCUCCCAAGGUGGCAGCAAGACUUUUGUUCUCUCACCUGGGGUUCUUGGCCUCCUGGAUUCCAAGGAAUGGAACUUUGGGCCAUGCGAUUACUGUUGUGAUUACUGUCUCCUGACUGGACCCUGACUGCUAUAGAAUUGGUACCUGAAAGUGUCACAGAAGACAGAUUCUAAAAGGGUCUGGCUCUGUCAUGCAGGCUGGAGUUCAGAGGCACAAUCUUGGCUCACUACAACCUCCACCUCCUGGGUUCAAGCAAUUCUCCUGCCUCAGCCUCCCGAGUAGCUGGGAUUAUAGGCACUCACCACCUCGCGCAGAUAAAUAUGCUGAGGCAUGUUUUCAAGGAGGGGAGAUGGAUUCCUUUUCCUCAGCCUGGCACAGAGCCGACCUGCAGUGUAGCACUGUGGUGACCUGGCAGGAUCUGCUCUCCAGUCACUCCUGCGGGCCCUUCUGGGGACAAGGAGACUUUUCUGUGUGGCCUGUUGAUUUGAGAUCGAGGCUAUCAAGCUACAGAUGAUCUUACAAAUGGAACCCCAAAUGAGUGCAACUAACAACUACCAAGGACCCCGGGACCAACCCGCUGGCCCUUUCAGUGGCCUAAAGAGUUCCUCCCUGGAGGACACUACAACUGCAGGGUCCCUUCUUUGCCCCUAUCCAGCAGGAAGUAGCUAGAGUGGUCAUCACCCAAUUCCCAGUAGCAGUUGGGGUGUCUUGUUAAGUGGGGAGAUUGAGAGGUGAAGCCAGCUGGGCUUCUGGGUUGGGUGGGGACUUGGAGAACUUUUCUGUCUAGCUAGAGGAUUGUAAACACACCAAUCAGUGCUCUGUGUUUAGCUAAAGGUUUGUAAAUGCACCAAUCAGCACUCUAUAAAAAUGGACCAAUCAGCACUCUGUAAAAUGGACAAAUCAGCACUCUGUAAAAUGGAACAAUCAGUAGGAUGUGGGUGGGGCCAAAUACAGGAAUAAAAGCUGGCCACCCGAGUCAGCAGUGGCAACCCACUCGGGUCCCCUUCCAUGCUGUGGAAGCUUUGUUCUUUCGCUCUUCACAAUAAAUUUUGCUGCUUCUCACUCUUUGGGUCCACACCACCUUUAUGAGCUGUAACACUCACUGCGAAGGUCUGCGGCUUCACUCCUGAAGUCAGCGAGACCACAAACCCAUGGGGAGGAACAAUCAACUCUGGACAUGCCACCUUUAAGAGCUGUAACACUCACUGUAAACGUCUGUGGCUUCACUCCUGAAGUCAGCAAGACUACGAAUGCACUGGAAGGAAGAAAUUUCGGACACAUCUGAACAUCUGAAGGAACAAACUCUGGACACGCCAUCUUUAAGAACUGUAACACUCACCGUGAGGGUUCACGGGUUCAUUCUUGAAGUCAGCAAGACCAAGAACCCACCAGAAGAAACCAAUUCCGGACACAGACUCACUGCAACCUCCACCUCCUGGAUUCAAGUGACUCUCCUGCCUCAGCCUCCUGAGUAGCUGUGCCUACAGGCACGAGCCACCAUGCAUGGCUAAUUUUUUGUAUUUUUAGUAGAGAUGGGGUUUCACCAUGUUGCCCAGGCUGGUCUCCAACUCCUGAGCUCAAGUGAUCCACCUGCUUUGGCCUCCCAAAGUGUUGGGAUACAGGUCUGAGCCACUGUGCCCGGCCUCCCCUGGAUUAGUUCUUACAGGAAUAGAUUAGUUCUUGCUAGAGAAGGUUGUUAUAAAAGUGAGAUUGCCUCUAGUGUUUUGUAUCCUCACAUAUGUCUGCUUACCUCUUUACCUCUACCUAUGUUAUGACCCGGCAUAAAAGCCCUCACCAGAAGCCAAGCAGAUGCUGAUGCCACACCCCUUGGACUUCUCAGUCUACAGAGCCAUGAAACA
Long non-coding RNA from Pongo pygmaeus (Bornean orangutan), 1887 nucleotides. RefSeq lists it as uncharacterized. The transcript is spliced from 5 exons. NCBI's taxonomy places the organism in Eukaryota, Metazoa, Chordata, Mammalia, Primates, Hominidae. The record is from RefSeq and is a predicted model, not a curated record.